RNAcentral lists this ribosomal RNA (116 nucleotides) under Aspergillus niger. RNAcentral also lists the same sequence under 1 other name. Lineage: Eukaryota; Fungi; Ascomycota; Eurotiomycetes; Eurotiales; Aspergillaceae. The record is from RNAcentral.
ACGACCAUAGGGUGUGGAAAAUAGGGCUUCCCGUCCGCUCAGCCGUACUCAAGCCACACGCCGGGAGGUUAGUAGUUGGGUGGGUGACCACCAGCGAAUCCCUUCUGUUGUAUGUU